This 498-nucleotide ribosomal RNA is filed under the name uncultured bacterium. Its description in RNAcentral is "partial 16S ribosomal RNA". It matches the Rfam family "Bacterial small subunit ribosomal RNA", at positions 30 to 523 of the family's 1533-position model. The record is from RNAcentral.
AUUGAACGCUGGCGGCAUGCCUUACAAAUGCAAGUCGAACGGUAACAGGUCUUCGGAUGCUGACGAGUGUCGAACGGGUGAGUAAUACAUCGGAACGUGCCCGAUCGUGGGGGAUAACGAAGCGAAAGCUUUGCUAAUACCGCAUACGAUCUACGGAUGAAAGCAGGGGACCGCAAGGCCUUGCGCGAACGGAGCGGCCGAUGGCAGAUUAGGUAGUUGGUGGGAUAAAAGCUUACCAAGCCGACGAUCAGUAGCUGGGCUGAAUGGACGACCAGCCAUACUGGGACUGAGACAAGGCCCAGACUCCUACGGGUGGCAGCAGUGGUGAAUUUUUGACAAUGGGCGAAAGCCUGAUCCAGCCAUGCUGCGUGCAGGAUGAAGGCCUUCGGGUUGUGAACUGCUUUUGUACGGAACGAAAAGACUCUGGUUAAUACCUGGGGUCCAUGACGGUACCGUAAGAAUAAGCACCGGCUAACUACGUGCCAGCCGCCGCAGUAA